Molecule: long non-coding RNA, 233 nt
Filed under: Solanum tuberosum (potato)
Lineage: Eukaryota; Viridiplantae; Streptophyta; Magnoliopsida; Solanales; Solanaceae
Description: long non-coding RNA (STUB_LNC004765)
Source: RNAcentral
AGAUCAUCGUGGACUUUCGUCGGGGGUGAUCCCUAUCAAGGUAUGUGAGUUCUUUGUGUGGGUUGAUCCUUUCCCCCACACACCAAGCUCAUUUUAUGAUUUGAGGAAAGAUUGGGUUUGUUGUUGAAGUUGUUAGUUGUUGUUGAUGUUGUUAGUUGUGUUGUUGAAGUUAUUGUUGGUUGUGAGACAUGAUUGGGUUGUGUUUGGAGUUGUAAUCCAUGGUAUGUUGAGGG